Equus caballus (horse) is the source of this 1858-nucleotide long non-coding RNA. The record is from Ensembl. Lineage: Eukaryota; Metazoa; Chordata; Mammalia; Perissodactyla; Equidae.
CUUUUCCCCAAUAAAUGGAGUCAUGUGGUUUGUAGCCAUUGGAGUCUGGCCUCUUUCACUUAGCACAAUGCGUGUUUUUGCAUGCAUCAGUAGUUUGUUCCUUUUUAUUGCUGAGUAGUAGUCUUUUGUUUGCAUGUACUAUAGUCUGUUUAUCCAUUCACCAGUUGAGCAACAUUUAGUUUGUUUCCAGUUUGGGGUAAUUAUGAAUAAAACUGCUAUAAACUUUCACAUGCAGGUCUUUGUGUGGACGUGGGUUUUCAUUUCUCUUAGGUAAAUACCUAGGAGUGGGAUUGCUGGACUGUAUGGAAAUGGCGUUUUUCUUAAAAAGUUAACUGUCUAUAUGAUAUAUAUGGAUUAUCUACUUCCAGAAUUCUGCCUAACCAGUUUAGAAUACUGAGUUGCCCCAAAUUUGCCUCUAAUUCCCCUCACUGCCUAAACCAACUGAUUUUUUUUUCCAGUCAAUUCAGCCAUGCUCCAAACUAAUUUUAAAUAAUUAGCGUUAGUCCAAAUGGAACAUAAUUAGAGAAUUAACUCUGUCAUCAAAAUAGUUGUAUAAACCAGUGUCGACACAAAUACUCGCAACUUGAAGUACUCGCGGUCUUUGGAGCAUCAAUUCUGCAGUUCUUCUUCAUUACCCUGGGAAAUUGAGAAUAGCAUGAAGAUGUGUCAGGAACAGGGUGACAGGGAAAGAGGUGGAGCAGAGCCACGCGGGCAGGACUCUUCCUCACCUGGCAGCAAACGUUGUUUGUGAAAUCAGCACUUUAGAAAUAAAUCGUAGAUGCUUCCGUGAAGAUUUCAGCUAGUUGUCCCUGGUGGCAUUGUUGCAUGUUUGAAUUCGUAGGUGGGUACUGGUUUAGUCUCACUGCAAUAGCUUCUGGAUGUGUCUCUUGAGGUCUUCAGUCAUGAAGGGCUGUCCCGGGAACGACGAGAAGCCAGUUGUCAGUCAGAUCCUCGCUCUCAACAACUGAAGUCCCAUAGAAGCUGAACGGUGGAAGGUGAAGGUUUUACAAGUGGCUGAAUUGCUCAUGAUAUCCUUCAGGAUUCCAGCAAAAUUAUUUGUUUCCUCAAUGAUCGAUCCCCCAAAAAAGAGAACAGUAUGAUGGAGAGAGUGGAACUAACAUUGGCUAAGCAACUACUGUGUGCUAUUAAUUUGUGCUACAGUCUGUUUCAUGAAUUUUCAAAUUUAAUUCUAGCAACCACCUUAUGAAGGAAAUAUUAUCUCCUGUAAUUACUUAUAGCUGUGGCAAUCAAGGCUCAGAGAGGUUAUUAACUUGCUCAUAUUGCUAGUUAAGUGGCAAAACUCAUAGUCCCACCAGAUCUCUUUGACUCAAAAGCUUGUCCUCUUCCCAAUGCUACACAGUUGCCUCCCUGAAUACCUGACCGCAUCCCUUAAAAAUCCUGCCCUCACUUGGGGUCCCAGGAAAAUACAGGAUGCCCAGUUAAAUUUUCAGAUAAACAAUAAAUACCUUUUUAGUAUUUGUGUGUCCCAAAUAUUGCAUGAGGUAUGCAGAUACUAAUAAUUAUUUCUUGUUUUUCUGAAAUUCAAAUUUAACUGGGCAUCCUAUAUUUUUGGUAACUGUAGCCUGGCCCUCAUUGAUGCUUUCUGGCCACACGAUGGAGAUGCCAAUAUUCUGCAGUUUACUCUUCUUUAUUGUCAUUGCACAAAGAUGUCUUCCUGGGCUGGCCCCGUGGCCGAGUGGUUAAGUUCGCGCGCUCCGCUGCAGGCGGCCCAGUGUUUUGUUGGUUCGAAUCCUGGGCGCGGACGUGGCACUGCUCAUCAAACCACACUGAGGCAGCGUCCCACAUGCCACAAGUAGAAGGACCCACAACAAAGAAUAUACAGCUAUGUACCGGGGUG